Long non-coding RNA from Mustela lutreola (European mink), 1464 nucleotides. RefSeq lists it as uncharacterized. The transcript has 3 exons. NCBI's taxonomy places the organism in Eukaryota, Metazoa, Chordata, Mammalia, Carnivora, Mustelidae. The record is from RefSeq and is a predicted model, not a curated record.
CCCUGCUCCUCUCACCUGCUGUACCGCCGCCAGGCUCUGGAGCUGGGCGCCGCUGAGGUGCUGCUGCUGGAGCGCAGCCGUCUGCAGCAUGAGGUGCUGCUGCUGGGCCGCGUACAUCUGCUGCAGCCUGAGCUGCAUCCAUAAUGAGCUCUGGAAGGAGGAACUCUGUUGGACUUCAUUGGGAGCUGUGAGGCCCGGUUACUCAGAUGACCUCACUGGAGGAAACCGAUAUGAUGGAGGGGUAUACGGAAGAGCGUUCUUCUCACCCUUGAUAACCUCUGCAGACUCCUGCCCUCAGAACUGCAGAUGCCUCAGGUUCAGCCUCGGGGAGAGCUGGAACACAGAGCGGUGCACGGAUUCUGAGGCCAGCCUGGAGACACGCACUCUGAUCUCGCCUCGGGGCUGUGAGCAAGAUUACCUUUUAUCCCCAUUAGCUUGUGAAGUGAUUUGCCCACUAUUAAAUGCUACUAAGUAAGUGUAAUUACGCUUUAAACCCACCUCUGCCCCGCUAAGUCUUGGCAAGAGGAAGGAGAGGACUUGCCUCCAAUGGGGUUUUCACUAGAUUUGUAUUAACCAGGCAAAAUGAAGGGGACAAAGCUUGUUAUGAAUGUAAUACACACAGUCUCGUCCCGUUGUUGUGAAUUACGUGUUACUGGAUGUAGAACUAGAUAGGAGGAUAUGUACCAAAAUGUUAAUAAUAAUGGCUGCUUGGGUGGUCUGGUCACUGCUAAUGUUUAUUUUCUUGUUCGUGCUUUAUUUUCCAAAUUGUCUGUAUUUUUUAAAUUAUCUGGGCUGAGACAUCACAAUAUUCUCAGCAUAAAAGAGAAGUGAAAAAUGAAAACCUCAGGGAAAGGGUGCUCAUUCUCCAUCUGAACAAGUCCUGGUCAUUCAGAAGCUGGUGGUGUAGGUCUGUCCGCAUUGGCCCACAGCAUCCAGACACCUGCUGAACUGGGGCUUGGCCAUUCCUGGUGCCCUCAAUACAUAUUCCAACGGGUCCAGGGAAUAUUUGGUAUUUUACAGAGCUAGAAAGCAUACAAAGGUGGGAGGCAUCAGACUCCUAGGAUCAAUUCCAGCAGAGUACAACCCCUGACCCAGAUAGUGACCACAGAGUGUUCCUGGGGCAAGUCACUCAGUACAGUUCACUUCACUUAGUGCUGCUGGGAAGGUAGGUGGAAAAGAUGUGGUUUCUGUCUUCAAGGGCUUUGACGAUCUUGUAAGGAUGACAGACAUAGGUAUAAGGAACUAGUUCUGCCACAGAUGUACAAAGGGAACAGUUGGAGCCAAGCAGUGUAGGGCAGUGACUUUGGGGUUACCCAGACCUGGAUGGGACACACCUCUGCCAUCCACUGUCCACGUGACCUAGGACCGUGUGCUGUACCUCGCUGAGCCACUGUUUCCUCAUCUCUAAAAGGGAGAUGGCAGCCCUUGAGGUGGAGCUGUGGGGAACAGGCGGGGGGCCUGGGA